UUAAUUGAAACCAAAUAGAGUUAUAUUAUUGUUAAUAAUAGAAUUGAAAUUUUAAAGUCUCCAAUUUGA
Molecule: transfer RNA, 69 nt
Filed under: Dolichoris vasculosae
Lineage: Eukaryota; Metazoa; Arthropoda; Insecta; Hymenoptera; Agaonidae
Description: tRNA-Asn
Source: RNAcentral